RNAcentral lists this ribosomal RNA (465 nucleotides) under uncultured bacterium. RNAcentral's name for it is "partial 16S ribosomal RNA". It matches the Rfam family "Bacterial small subunit ribosomal RNA", at positions 338 to 795 of the family's 1533-position model. The record is from RNAcentral.
CCUACGGGUGGCAGCAGUGGGGAAUAUUGCGCAAUGGGCGAAAGCCUGACGCAGCGACGCCGCGUGAGGGAUGAAGGUCUUCGGAUCGUAAACCUCUGUCAGCAGGGAAGAACGGUCACUGUGCUAAUCAGCAGUGAAUUGACGGUACCUGCAAAGGAAGCACCGGCGAACUCCGUGCCAGCAGCCGCGGUAAUACGAAGGGUGGGAGCGUAAAUCGGAAUUACUGGGCGGAAAGCGCUCGUAGGCGGUAUGUCAAGUCAAGGGGGAAAUCCCCGCGCUCAACGUGGGAACUGCCUUUGAAAAUGGCAAACUGGAGUGUGUGAGAGGAUAGUGGAAUUCCAGGUAUAGGAGUGAAAUCCGUAGAUAUCUGGAGGAACAUCAGUGGCGAAGGCGACUAUCUGGCACAUAACUGACGCUGAGGAGCGAAAGCGUGGGUAGCAAACAGGAUUAGAUACCCGGGUAGUC